UACGUAGGGUGCGAGCGUUGUCCGGAAUUAUUGGGCGUAAAGAGCUUGUAGGUGGUUUGUCGCGUCUGCUGUGAAAAUCCGGGGCUCAACCCCGGACUUGCAGUGGGUACGGGCAGACUAGAGUGUGGUAGGGGAGACUGGAAUUCCUGGUGUAGCGGUGGAAUGCGCAGAUAUCAGGAGGAACACCGGUGGCGAAGGCGGGUCUCUGGGCAGUAACUGACGCUGAGGAGCGAAAGCGUGGGGAGCGAACAGG
Molecule: ribosomal RNA, 253 nt
Filed under: uncultured bacterium
Lineage: Bacteria
Description: partial 16S ribosomal RNA
Rfam family: Bacterial small subunit ribosomal RNA
Source: RNAcentral